This 1034-nucleotide unclassified non-coding RNA is filed under the name Anaphalis gracilis. RNAcentral's name for it is "contains 5' external transcribed spacer, ETS". The record is from RNAcentral. Lineage: Eukaryota; Viridiplantae; Streptophyta; Magnoliopsida; Asterales; Asteraceae.
GUUGAGUCACGGGUCGAAUUUAUUACGACUUAUGAGUGAUGAUAUACUCGAUGUCGAAGGCAUUGUAACCCAACAAGUGGGGAGUUUGAUUUGGUUGGUACAAAUUGAACGAUCUGCGGUAGCAGCGAUAAAUGACGUGGUGUGGUUGGAAGUUUAGCCAUGCCCGGAUGUUGUUGUUACUUUGCGAUGUCAAGUUGUUUGUGGAUCUGAGUUUUUUGCUUAACAUGUAUCUUCAUUAGGACUGCACUAUCAUUCCGAUUGUAUGGCAUGUUCUUGUUUGAUUGUUGCCUUACGAUUGGAUUGUUGGUGUAUCCGAUGAUGUGAUUUGGCUUGUUAAGCUAAAAACUGUGGAUGACAAAUUGACAUUGUUUUUUGAGUUGUUGAAUGUGUUGUUGGUGAUGACAUUUGUCUUGAGGUGKUGCGGUGUCACGUUGCCUGUGUAUCCUGGCUUCGAGCUAUUNAAGCUUGAAACUUGUGGAUUAUCGGUUGGUGACAUGGCAUCGCUCCCUUGGUUGAUGAAAGUCGUCCAAUGAUGCAGUGGUUUGUUUAUUUUCUUCUCGCAUCGCUCGGUGCAUUCUGUGGUCAUUUUGGCUGUUGGCAGCUUGCUUGGCAAUUAAGCUUGGUGGGUUGCUACUGGUUGGGUGUCUUCGGGGAUGUUUACCGUAAAGGUGCAUGAGUGGUGUUUGGUUUGUUACGGGUGGUUGGCUCUUUGCUUGCGCAACAACUUCUACCUGGCAUACCUCUUCAUUCUUGUGUCAAUGCUUGUAUUGCAUUGAAUGCAUGGUGGGUUUCUUGUGUUGCAUGCCUAAUUAAUGGUAUCGCUUGAUGAUUUGGUAUUCCUUUUGUCUUGUGUCGCCUAUGCGAUGUGAGAUGAACCUUGAAGCAGCCUUUGUGAUCCACUCUUUUGAUGCAUACACAUUGAUUUUGUGGCCCAUUGAGUGUUGCUUGGUAACAUGGAUAUGGAACCUGGUGUGGGCAUGGAAUCUUAAUGGUUCCUUGUUUGCCCAAGUUUAGCUUUUCUAAAACGAUUGUCU